UACAGAGGGGGCAAGCGUUGUUCGGAAUUACUGGGCGUAAAGGGCGCGUAGGCGGCCUGUUAAGUCGGACGUGAAAUCCCUCGGCUCAACCGGGGAACUGCGUCCGAUACUGGCGGGCUUGAAUUCGGGAGAGGGAUGUGGAAUUCCAGGUGUAGCGGUGAAAUGCGUAGAUAUCUGGAGGAACACCGGUGGCGAAGGCGGCAUCCUGGACCGAUAUUGACGCUGAUGCGCGAAAGCCAGGGGAGCAAACGGG
This 253-nucleotide ribosomal RNA is filed under the name uncultured bacterium. Its description in RNAcentral is "partial 16S ribosomal RNA". It matches the Rfam family "Bacterial small subunit ribosomal RNA", at positions 524 to 776 of the family's 1533-position model. The record is from RNAcentral.